Molecule: transfer RNA, 76 nt
Filed under: Synergistaceae bacterium
Lineage: Bacteria; Thermotogati; Synergistota; Synergistia; Synergistales; Synergistaceae
Description: tRNA-Arg
Rfam family: tRNA
About the family: Transfer RNA (tRNA) molecules are approximately 80 nucleotides in length. Their secondary structure includes four short double-helical elements and three loops (D, anti-codon, and T loops).
Source: RNAcentral
GCCCCUGUAGCUCAAUGGAUAGAGCAACUGCCUUCUAAGCAGUAGGUCACGGGUUCGAGUCCUGUCGGGGGCGCCA